GUAACAAGGUCUCCGUAGGUGAACCUGCGGAGGGAUCAUUACACAAAUAUGAAGGCGGGCUGGAACCUCUCGGGGUUACAGCCUUGCUGAAUUAUUCACCCUUGUCUUUUGCGUACUUCUUGUUUCCUUGGUGGGUUCGCCCACCACUAGGACAAACAUAAACCUUUUGUAAUUGCAAUCAGCGUCAGUAACAAAUUAAUAAUUACAACUUUCAACAACGGAUCUCUUGGUUCUGGCAUCGAUGAAGAACGCAGCGAAAUGCGAUAAGUAGUGUGAAUUGCAGAAUUCAGUGAAUCAUCGAAUCUUUGAACGCACAUUGCGCCCUUUGGUAUUCCAAAGGGCAUGCCUGUUCGAGCGUCAUUUGUACCCUCAAGCUUUGCUUGGUGUUGGGCGUCUUGUCUCUAGCUUUGCUGGAGACUCGCCUUAAAGUAAUUGGCAGCCGGCCUACUGGUUUCGGAGCGCAGCACAAGUCGCACUCUCUAUCAGCAAAGGUCUAGCAUCCAUUAAGCCUUUUUUUCAACUUUUGACCUCGGAU
This 535-nucleotide ribosomal RNA is filed under the name Alternaria brassicae. RNAcentral's name for it is "eukaryotic LSU rRNA". The stretch from base 207 to 360 matches the Rfam family "5.8S ribosomal RNA". The record is from RNAcentral. Lineage: Eukaryota; Fungi; Ascomycota; Dothideomycetes; Pleosporales; Pleosporaceae.